UUUAUUUUUUUUAAUUUCAAUCUAUGGAAGUCGCCUGCCAGUAUUGAUCUUGUAGUACGCUGAUCCUUUUUUGGUUGACCUGUUGAACUCAAUCAAAGAGUAAAAACGAAGGAAACUUUGUUAAUUAAUACUAGCGUUAUUCUUUUAUAUUCCGAGUGAGGAGUGCUAAAUUAAUUGCUUUCACAAAUCAUUCCUGAACUUUCAAUAUUUAGACUUGAAGUAAACAAGUUUCUUGUUUGUUCUUCUACUUGAUCAGGUUCCAGUUGCAGAACUCCAUCUUCUCAGGUCUCAAUCUUUUUUCUUGUACUGUAAUACAUGAACUAGCCAUCAACAUCAAGUACAGUUGACGAUGAUGAUGACGGGUAUUGGAUUCGAUCACAUGCUUAGACGAUGACAGAUAUUAAUGGCUAUAUUUGCAACUGUUGCAGAUGACUUCACAAGCUCAGACGAUGGUAGACGAUAACGAAUUCCUGUUACUACUAUGAUCAAUGUUUCUUCUUUGAUGAUAAUGAUGACAGGUUAGUUGUUGUAAGGUUUGUUUAAAUUUUGAACACAUACAGUACAAUGUUUUGGCUUUUGGUGCACAACUGAUUUUAAUAA
Long non-coding RNA from Mangifera indica (mango), 600 nucleotides. RefSeq lists it as uncharacterized. The transcript is spliced from 2 exons. The record is from RefSeq and is a predicted model, not a curated record. Lineage: Eukaryota; Viridiplantae; Streptophyta; Magnoliopsida; Sapindales; Anacardiaceae.